UGCCAGCCGCCGCGGUAAUACGGAGAGUGCAAGCGUUGUUCGGAAUCAUUGGGCGUAAAGGGCGUCUAGGUGGCCUGGCAAGUCAGAUGUGAAAUCCCUCGGCUUAACCGAGGACGUGCAUUUGAAACUGCUAGGCUUGAGUGUCGGAGGGGGUAGCGGAAUUCCCGGUGUAGAGGUGAAAUUCGUAGAUAUCGGGAGGAACACCAGUGGCGAAGGCGGCUACCUGGCCGAACACUGACACUGAAGCGCGAAAGCAUGGGGAGCAAACAGGAUUAGAUA
RNAcentral lists this ribosomal RNA (279 nucleotides) under uncultured bacterium. RNAcentral describes it as "partial 16S ribosomal RNA". It matches the Rfam family "Bacterial small subunit ribosomal RNA", at positions 506 to 784 of the family's 1533-position model. The record is from RNAcentral.